Molecule: ribosomal RNA, 482 nt
Filed under: uncultured bacterium
Lineage: Bacteria
Description: partial 16S ribosomal RNA
Rfam family: Bacterial small subunit ribosomal RNA
Source: RNAcentral
AUUGAACGCUGGCGGCAUGCCUUACACAUGCAAGUCGAACGGUAACGGGCCUUCGGGUGCCGACGAGUGGCGAACGGGUGAGUAAUACAUCGGAACGUGCCCGAUCGUGGGGGAUAACGAGGCGAAAGCUUUGCUAAUACCGCAUACGAUCUACGGAUGAAACCAGGGGACCGCAAGGCCUUGCGCGGACGGAGCGGCCGAUGGCAGAUUAGGUAGUUGGUGGGAUAAAAGCUUACCAAGCCGACGAUCUGUAGCUGGUCUGAGAGGAUGAUCAGCCACACUGGGACUGAGACACGGCCCAGACUCCUACGGGAGGCAGCAGUGGGGAAUUUUGGACAAUGGGCGCAAGCCUGAUCCAGCCAUGCCGCGUGCAGGAUGAAGGCCUUCGGGUUGUAAACUGCUUUUGUACGGAACGAAAAGCCUUCUUUUAAUACAGGAGGGUCAUGACGGUACCGUAAGAAUAAGCACCGGCUAACUACGUG